GUGAGGAAUAUUGGACAAUGGGCGCAAGUCUGAUCCAGCCAUGCCGCGUGCAGGAAGACGCAUCUAUGGUGUGUAAACUGCUUUUGUACGGGAAGAAACACUCCCUCGUGAGGGAGCUUGACGGUACCGUAAGAAUAAGGAUCGGCUAACUCCGUGCCAGCAGCCGCGGUAAUACGGAGGAUCCAAGCGUUAUCCGGAAUCAUUGGGUUUAAAGGGUCCGUAGGCGGUUUAAUAAGUCAGUGGUGAAAGCCCAUCGCUCAACGAUGGAACGGCCAUUGAUACUGUUAGACUUGAAUUACAAGGAAGUAACUAGAAUAUGUAGUGUAGCGGUGAAAUGCUUAGAUAUUACAUGGAAUACCAAUUGCGAAGGCAGGUUACUACUUGUGGAUUGACGCUGAUGGACGAAAGCGUGGGGAGCGAACAGGAUUAGAAACCCCGGUAGUCC
This 445-nucleotide ribosomal RNA is filed under the name uncultured bacterium. RNAcentral's name for it is "partial 16S ribosomal RNA". It matches the Rfam family "Bacterial small subunit ribosomal RNA", at positions 354 to 796 of the family's 1533-position model. The record is from RNAcentral.